RNAcentral lists this ribosomal RNA (1143 nucleotides) under Triticum aestivum (bread wheat). RNAcentral describes it as "partial small subunit ribosomal RNA". The record is from RNAcentral. Lineage: Eukaryota; Viridiplantae; Streptophyta; Magnoliopsida; Poales; Poaceae.
AUGGCGUCUCCCGCUCCAAUCCCGGCAACGCCGCUCCUCGCCAUCGCCAUCCUCGCCGUGCUCGUCUCCGCCACCACAGCCGGCCCGGCGUGCUCGGAGUCCGACCGGGACGCGCUGCUGUCGAUCCGCGCGGCGCUGUCGGAGGCGCACCUCGGCGUCUUCUCGACGUGGAAGGGCGCGGAUUGCUGCGCCAACUGGUACGGCGUGAGCUGCGACCCCACGAGCGGCCGCGUGGCCGACCUGACCCUCCGCGGCGAAGCCGAGGACGCCGUCAUGGCCCCCGACGGCCACCCCGCCUCGGGCGUCAUGUCCGGCUACAUCUCCGACCACGUCUGCCACCUCGACGCUCUGUCCUCUCUCAUACUCGCCGACUGGAAGCAGAUAUCCGGGCCCAUCCCGUCCUGCGUCGCCACCUCUCUUCCCAACCUCCGUAUCCUCGAGCUUCCCGCCAACCGCCUCACGGGCGAGAUCCCGCCGUCCAUCGGCAGCCUCUCCCGCCUCAUCGUGCUCAACCUCGCCGACAACCUCCUCUCCGGCGCCAUUCCCAGCUCCAUCGCCUCCCUCGCAUCCAUCAAGCACCUCGACCUCGCCAACAACCAGCUCACCGGCAGUAUCCCAGCCAACAUCGGCAACCUCGCCACGCUCAGCCGCGCGGUGCUCAGCCGGAACCGGCUGUCGGGACCCAUCCCUCCGUCCAUCGGGUCCCUCACCCGGCUCGCGGACCUGGACCUCUCCGAGAACCGUCUCACCGGCGCCAUCCCGGACAGCCUCGGGUCGUCGGGCAGCGGCGUGCUCACCUCGCUGCACCUCGGCGGCAACCGCAUCUCCGGGCGGAUCCCGGCAAAGCUGCUGGGGGCGAAGGGGCUCGCGAUCGUGAACCUGAGCCGGAACGCCGUGGAGGGCCCCAUCCCGGACGCGUUCACGGGCAGGUCCUACUUCAUCGUGCUGGACCUGUCGCGGAACCGGCUGACCGGCGGCGUGCCGCGGUCCCUGGCAUCGGCGGCGUACGUGGGGCACCUCGACCUCAGCCACAACCGGCUGUGCGGCACCAUCCCGGCGGGCCCGCCGUUCGACCACCUCGCCGCCGAGUCCUUCGCCAGCAACAGCUGCCUCUGCGGGGCCCCGCUCGGCAAGUGCACGUGA